Molecule: ribosomal RNA, 117 nt
Organism: Acidimicrobium ferrooxidans DSM 10331
Lineage: Bacteria; Bacillati; Actinomycetota; Acidimicrobiia; Acidimicrobiales; Acidimicrobiaceae
Source: Rfam
GGCGGUGGCCAUGGCGGUGGGGAAACACCCGUUCCCAUUCCGAACACGGCCGUUAAGCCCACCAGCGCCGAUGGUACUUGGGGGGAGACCCCCUGGGAGAGUAGGGCGCCGCCGACC